GGGCCAGAGUUCGGUCCUCUGACUUGACAC
RNAcentral lists this unclassified non-coding RNA (30 nucleotides) under Dictyostelium discoideum. Lineage: Eukaryota; Evosea; Eumycetozoa; Dictyosteliales; Dictyosteliaceae. The record is from RNAcentral.